This is a long non-coding RNA of Gallus gallus (chicken), 859 nucleotides long. The record is from Ensembl. NCBI's taxonomy places the organism in Eukaryota, Metazoa, Chordata, Aves, Galliformes, Phasianidae.
CUGUUGGUGAGCUGCAUUACUACCCAGAUUUGUAGCAGGAUGAUUUCUGGGCUUCAAACCUAUUACAUGGAGACACCUGGAGAACUGAGCUUGCUGAGGGACACAGAUGAACAAGUCCAAGCAAGUCCAGGUCAAGGGUCGCGAAAUCCUUUGGCUGAAAGACACAGAUGGACAAGGCCAGGGGCAAUGAGAGAGAGAUAAGCCAGAGCUUAAUGGCCAGGAAGCAGUCUUUUGUGUGGGCCUAUCUCGAGGGACAUAGCCAUCUCAGGGUGUGCUGCACGUGACUGUUACCCAAGCACCCAGGAAUGCCAUGUUGGCAGAAGAAGAAGGAUAAGAAGGGAUGAACAACCAUGAGACCAGAGUUUUCUGACAGCAGAUUCCUCACGAAGAAGAGGUUUCUGACAACAGAUUCCUCACAACCUGAGACCUGCAUGCUGAAGAAGAACACGAAGGUUUCUGACAUGAGAAGCCUCAUGACCUCCCUGUCCCUCCUGGACUUGCUCUGCACUCUACCUGGUUGCUGCCUAAGGCUGGCCACUCUGCUGCUGCUCUCCUCCCCAUGAAGGUGUCUUCCAUCAGAUCCCUCAGUACAGAAUGCCUGUGUGCUGACGGACUUUCCAAGGCCUGCUACCGGAGACCUGCUGCUUCCUCCUGGACUUCUUCCUGGACCUACCCGAUACCUGCACCUUCUUGUUGCCCAAGACUGGCCAUGCUGCUGCUGCUCUCCCCCUGUGCUUUUGCCUCAGAUCAUCGGACCGUUGUGCAACGGGACUGCUGUUGUAUCCUGGUGGUGACUAUCCCCGCUUUACGCAAUUCUUGCCUCUUUCCUAUCUUUUCUAUUGCCUGCCUUCUCUUCCCC